CCCGUAUUCGGAGAAGGAUUCCAUUAACAUAUACCCAUUACAGAAGUGAGGUCCAGGACAAUUCCAGUAUAUCUUAUGAUUAUCCUUUGUAAUAAAUUCCAUUUUUUUUUGGAACAUGCAUUUAGAAUUAUCUUAUUUUUUUGUAUGAGGAUAAUGUUCCUUGUUUCCCGUACCAACAUAUUAAAUCAGAACAAUUAUUAAUAUGACAAAAAGGAAAACAUAUGGCCAGGAAUAUCUGAC
This 240-nucleotide long non-coding RNA is filed under the name Mytilus galloprovincialis (Mediterranean mussel). The record is from RNAcentral. Lineage: Eukaryota; Metazoa; Mollusca; Bivalvia; Mytilida; Mytilidae.